Molecule: ribosomal RNA, 492 nt
Filed under: uncultured bacterium
Lineage: Bacteria
Description: partial 16S ribosomal RNA
Rfam family: Bacterial small subunit ribosomal RNA
Source: RNAcentral
AGUGAACGCUGGCGGUAGGCCUAACACAUGCAAGUCGAACGGCAGCACAGUAAGAGCUUGCUCUUACGGGUGGCGAGUGGCGGACGGGUGAGGAAUACAUCGGAAUCUACUUUUUCGUGGGGGAUAACGUAGGGAAACUUACGCUAAUACCGCAUACGACCUACGGGUGAAAGCAGGGGAUCUUCGGACCUUGCGCGAUUGAAUGAGCCGAUGUCGGAUUAGCUAGUUGGCGGGGUAAAGGCCCACCAAGGCGACGAUCCGUAGCUGGUCUGAGAGGAUGAUCGGCCACAUUGGAACUGAGACACGGUCCAGGCUCCUAAGGGAGGCAGCAGUGGGGAAUAUUGGACAAUGGGCGCAAGCCUGAUCCAGCCAUACCGCGUGGGUGAAGAAGGCCUUCGGGUUGUAAAGCCCUUUUGUUGGGAAAGAAAAGCAGCAGGUUAAUACCCCGCUGUUCUGACGGUACCCAAAGAAUAAGCACCGGCUAACUUCGUG